AGAUGUGAGGAUGAUCUGGCUGCGAUAACUAUCACCCCAUUGAUUCCCAGAGUGGAUUUGGCUGAUCUGGCCGGCUAAGUGGGUGUCCCAUUCCUCCCUCAAAGCUCCAUGUGCGACCUUCCAGAUGCUGAGUGCUCUGUCAACGAGGAUGACCACCCUCAAUAGAGGACUGUUCUUCAUUCAAGGGUAUACAAGUAGCUGCGCUCCCCUGUUAGAACUUCCAAACAAGCUCUCAAAGAAAAAAUUUUAAGGGAAGAUCUAUGAAACAAUAUGUUUCAUACAGGCCUUUGAAAAUUUGUGUAAUAUUCCU
This 310-nucleotide small nuclear RNA is filed under the name Chinchilla lanigera (long-tailed chinchilla). RNAcentral's name for it is "7SK RNA (ENSCLAG00000022062.1)". It matches the Rfam family "7SK RNA". Rfam says of the family: 7SK was discovered as an abundant small nuclear RNA in the mid-70s but a possible function has only recently been suggested. Two independent studies have found that 7SK RNA binds the CDK9/cyclin T complex (known as elongation factor P-TEFb). The record is from Rfam by way of RNAcentral. Lineage: Eukaryota; Metazoa; Chordata; Mammalia; Rodentia; Chinchillidae.